This 432-nucleotide unclassified non-coding RNA is filed under the name Hevea brasiliensis (rubber tree). Lineage: Eukaryota; Viridiplantae; Streptophyta; Magnoliopsida; Malpighiales; Euphorbiaceae. The record is from RNAcentral.
UGAGCGUUUAUGAGGGAUUAUUCACUUUUUAAUGUCCAACUCAUUAGCAAGGGUUGUUUUCAGUUCCCAGAACUCAUUCUGGAAGUCAUAAGUGGCGGAAAAAGAUAAAAGAAAAUUCAUUUAAAACUAUUACUUUGAGGUCAAGCACUCGAGUUCAGCAUUUAAAGGACUGCUCUUUUAGUUCCAAUGAAAAAUGAAAUACAAGAAGUGCUUAAUGUUUGUCCUGAGAACCCGUGCAAUUGCAACCUUAUGGAUUCUCUGAUUCAUACUUGGUUUUGGAGUAUUGGAUAGCCUUUUGUAGCUGUUUUGGUGUUGGAUCAUGGCAUUAGAUUUGGCUUCUAGACUGUGGUGUUUUAUCUUCGGCAUUGCCCCACUGGAUAUGAUAUCUGUCUCUGUCCCCUUUGUUUUUUGAGCAGAUCAAAGAGAAAAAAG